Molecule: ribosomal RNA, 315 nt
Filed under: Klebsiella quasipneumoniae subsp. similipneumoniae
Lineage: Bacteria; Pseudomonadati; Pseudomonadota; Gammaproteobacteria; Enterobacterales; Enterobacteriaceae
Description: partial 23S ribosomal RNA
Rfam family: Bacterial large subunit ribosomal RNA
Source: RNAcentral
UGUGAACUCGAAGAGUAGGGCGGGACACGUGGUAUCCUGUCUGAAUAUGGGGGGACCAUCCUCCAAGGCUAAAUACUCCUGACUGACCGAUAGUGAACCAGUACCGUGAGGGAAAGGCGAAAAGAACCCCGGCGAGGGGAGUGAAAAAGAACCUGAAACCGUGUACGUACAAGCAGUGGGAGCACCUUUAUGGUGUGACUGCGUACCUUUUGUAUAAUGGGUCAGCGACUUAUAUUCUGUAGCAAGGUUAACCGUAUAGGGGAGCCGCAGGGAAACCGAGUCUUAACUGGGCGUUAAGUUGCAGGGUAUAGACCC